Molecule: ribosomal RNA, 484 nt
Filed under: uncultured bacterium
Lineage: Bacteria
Description: partial 16S ribosomal RNA
Rfam family: Bacterial small subunit ribosomal RNA
Source: RNAcentral
AUUGAACGCUGGCGGCAUGCCUUACACAUGCAAGUCGAACGGCAGCACGGACUUCGGUCUGGUGGCGAGUGGCGAACGGGUGAGUAAUGUAUCGGAACGUACCUGUCAGUGGGGGAUAACGUAGCGAAAGUUACGCUAAUACCGCAUAUUCUGUGAGCAGGAAAGCAGGGGAUCGAAAGACCUUGCGCUGAUUGAGCGGCCGAUAUCAGAUUAGCUAGUUGGUGGGGUAAAGGCCUACCAAGGCGACGAUCUGUAGCGGGUCUGAGAGGAUGAUCCGCCACACUGGAACUGAGACACGGUCCAGACUCCUACGGGAGGCAGCAGUGGGGAAUUUUGGACAAUGGGGGCAACCCUGAUCCAGCCAUGCCGCGUGAGUGAAGAAGGCCUUCGGGUUGUAAAGCUCUUUCGGCCGGGAAGAAAUCGCAUAGGCUAAUACCCUGUGUGGAUGACGGUACCGGAAUAAGAAGCACCGGCUAACUACGUG